UGUACCGUUCCCAAACAAAGGGCUUGUAAAAUGAACAGCAAAACUGAGCGUGUGGACAGAGUUCCUUUCCUUUAUAUACAUCAAACAUAACCAGCUGUGUGAAAAAGGAGCAAGAUUCACUGCUCUGUGGCUUCAUCCCAUGUUGUUCCUGCAGCAUCUGAACUCAGGGGAUUGUAGGAGAAGGAAAAGUCAUAGUUAUACUUAUUUUCCACAUGGACAUGAAGCCCUCCUGCAAGGAACCACAUCAUUGAUCCCUGUCUCAGGAUCUUCUGGAUGGGGAAAACUACACUAGAUGAAAUUUUCUCCUUCAGCGCGGAAAAUCUAAGCAGACUGAACUUGUUGCAAAUGUAGGAGUAGCCUCUUCUAAUAAACAACUCUUGUUAUGUAUGAAUGUAAUAAUCAGGACCAUUAAUUAAAUUUUGUAAGAACACAUGA
This is a long non-coding RNA of Hemicordylus capensis (graceful crag lizard), 435 nucleotides long. RefSeq lists it as uncharacterized. The transcript has 3 exons. Lineage: Eukaryota; Metazoa; Chordata; Lepidosauria; Squamata; Cordylidae. The record is from RefSeq and is a predicted model, not a curated record.